Molecule: ribosomal RNA, 519 nt
Filed under: uncultured eukaryote
Lineage: Eukaryota
Description: SSU rRNA
Rfam family: Eukaryotic small subunit ribosomal RNA
Source: RNAcentral
AGGGCACCACCAGGAGUGGAGCCUGCGGCUUAAUUUGACUCAGCACGGGGAAACUUACCCGGCCUGGACACUGGAAGGAUUGACAGAUUGAGAGCUCUUUCUUGAUUCAGUGGGUGGUGGUGCAUGGCCGUUCUUAGUUGGUGGAGCGAUUUGUCUGGUUAAUUCCGAUAACGAACGAGACUCUAGCCUAUUAAAUAGGCUCUCGGCUUUUAAACGCCGGGAGGACUUCUUAGAGGGACAGGUGGCGGUUCAGCCGCACGAAAGAGAGCAAUAACAGGUCUGUGAUGCCCUUUGUUGUCCGGGGCCGCACGCGCGCUACACUGAAGAGAUCAGCGUGCUUUACGUUCCUGCUCCGACCGGAGUGGGGAACCCAGUGAACCUUCUUCGUGAUUGGGAUAGAAGAUUGUAAUUAUUCUUCUUGAACGAGGAAUUCCCAGUAAAUGCGAGUCAUAAGCUCGCGUUGAUUACGUCCCUGCCCUUUGUACACACCGCCCGUCGCUACUACCGAUUGAACGAUUU